AGCAGAAUGCCUGAGGAAAGGGUUAUUUUGAUAGAAUAAAUUACGUAAUUUAAUUACUUCUGUUA
RNAcentral lists this transfer RNA (65 nucleotides) under Acrotona obfuscata. RNAcentral describes it as "tRNA-Ile". Lineage: Eukaryota; Metazoa; Arthropoda; Insecta; Coleoptera; Staphylinidae. The record is from RNAcentral.